Molecule: RNA transcript, 3896 nt
Organism: Ixodes scapularis (black-legged tick)
Lineage: Eukaryota; Metazoa; Arthropoda; Arachnida; Ixodida; Ixodidae
Exons: 24
Source: RefSeq, a predicted model, not a curated record
CUUGCAAGCGUUUUUUCUCGUUCGCGUACUUUGUGCGCAGGUUCGUUUCUCCUUCUGUAGAUUGGAUGUCAUCGGGAUACCAUUGCGCGGUUCUAGGUUGUACGGACAACCGCCGGAAGCGUCCGAUAGCAUAGAACGAGCUCUGCAGCGUGCACAGAAGCCUGUAAGGCGAGUGCGGGUGCAAUGUUUUGAAGCUUCAUCGCUUUCCGGAUGAGAAAGAACUCCGUCGUCAGUAAGUUGCGUCGGUAAAUCGGGAAGACGUUUGCCCAUCGCCGUACUCCCGAGUAUGCUCGCGGCAUUUCACGGAUGGAGUGCGCGCCGAGACCUCCGUCCCGACUGUCGACAUGGGCUACAGUCGCGAGAAGCAGCCCUGAAACGGCAGUUGCUACCACUUUGGCAUUCCCAAAGGUUCUUCGACGCGCCUACAAAGAAAAAGCGCAGCCCUGGGCACCGAUAGAUCGGUCCUUCCCCGGACACGGCCAGACCACGCAAGAUUCACUCCAUCCGUGGAGCGGGAAGGGCAAGCACGUCAAGCCGAGCAGAGUCUACUGAGAGUUGCAGCGGCACAACAACAGGAAAAGACGCAGGACCUUGAGUAUCACGCAUGACAGGCAGUGUGUUAGUGCAGAAGGUGUCAAGACCCCCGUGUUUGCAAGGAAAAGGAAAACAGAAAGCGUCAACAACGAUCUCCAGACGACAGUAUCCGGGAGGACGGGACGGACGUAAAUUAGUGGAGGUGGCGGGAUCCAGACGUCAUUCCCUUUGCUGCGGCGACCACCACAUUAGAAGCACGUCACGCUCUGAUUUUCUUGGCAGAGAGCACAUUUUGUAAAAACACCGCGCGAAAGCGCAUCUACAACUAUACUACUAGGAGUGGAGCUCUUCAAGCGAUUACCCUAAAGCGCGUCGGCAGAGGGUAUUUAAUCUAACGCACAUCUUGCGACCACGCAACAGCUCCCGCUGUUGGCUGUCGAUCGCAAUCCUGUUUGCGUGGUCGUUUGCAAUUUUUUACGGCGAAGCUGUUAAGGGCCAGUUCCCCCACUAUCGUGUCCGCGUACAAGCGGCGUGUCGACACAAGACUCGAGCCAGUUCACUGUUAUCCUCAGUCUCAUACGACGAGGAGAGUCGUCCAUUGUGUUCCGUGCCGUCUCUCCCCCAAUGCUGUCGGCAAUGGAGGCUUGCCGGUCCAUUGUGCCGUCACGCAGCUUCACCUUCUUCACCAGCGUCAGUGGCCGCCUGCGUUUGGGACAUCGAGCACGCCCCGUGAUUGGAGUGGCCCUACUAGAAUGAAACGUCAUUGUCUCACCUACUAAUCGUGUGCGUCCUGUGUCCCGUGACGGCGAGAUCGCGUUGGGGCUCUUAUCGGUUGCCCUUUGGACUCGCGAUGGGUCGGCCGCGUCGCCUUUAUUCGGAGCAAGAAGAGGAGGAGCGCAAGGAGCGGCGGCGUGUGCAGCAGCUUGAAUGGCAGCGCAACAAACGCCGCCAAGCGGCUAUGGCCUCGAAUUCCACUGCGUCGUGUAAUUCCGAAUUUCUCGCGAAAGAAGAGAAGAUUGCCCGCCUGGAACGCCGCCGAGAACAGAACCGGCAAUAUGAACGGCGCCGGCGGGCCAACAAAACGGACGAGGAUCGUGCCAGGGAAGCCAAGCGCAAGCGCGAGGCCCGGCGACGACGGGCCGCCACGCCGGCUGAACAGUUCCCGGGUGCGACGGCCAGCUUCUGGAGGGAAUUCGUGGAGGACCCGUUCGGCGUCACGUGUGACAGAGGGGACUUUGGCCCGGAUCAGUUCCAGAUAGCCUCAAGGAGGACCAGCAGGGAAGAGGAGAACAAUGGUUUUGACGUGGAGACUUCUGAAAAGAACUCUGGAAAUGACAGUUUUGUGGGCCAUCUGUCAGGUGUGCAGGAUGAAGUGCAAGAAAGCAUACUGCCAGACGAUGGACCGGGCUGGGGUGGAUCCAGUGGUGAGAGUACCAUUUCAGCCAACACCAUCAAGACAGAGCCACCAGAUUAUGUCGAAGAGGACAAAGAGCCCGGCAGCCAUCUUGCGUCCGUGAAGUCGGAGCUGGAUCUCUUUGGGGUAGAUUGGAAACCUCACAGCCGAGUGCCUGCUCUUACCAAAGGGGUGGACGGUUCCAGCGGCAAUGGCACGAUGGCAGCUGCGACUAUCAAGACGGAGCCACCCGAAUAUGUCGAACAGGACGAAGAGCCUAGCUGCCAUCUUCUGUCCGUCAAAUCAGAGCCAGAAUAUUACGAGGAGGUUCGGGAACCUGGGAACCCAGUGCCAGCUCUGACGGAAGGUGAACCACCAGGUCGCAUGGACGUGACAAAGGUUACGUUCCACACAAAUCCAGAGCCGCAGGUUUCCCAAGAGGCCCAGCAACGUGGCAACGCAGCAGUGGCCGGCAAGAUUGAGCCUCAAGAUCCGACGGAAGCCGACGAUCCGGUGCUUCCCGCAGAGACAGGGGUGAAUGGUUCCAGUGGCAAUGGCAUGAUGGCAGCUGCGACUAUAAAGACGGAGCCACCCGAAUAUGUCGAGCAGGACGAAGAGCCGAGCUGCCAUCUUGUGUCUGUUAAAUCAGAGCCAGAAUAUUACGAGGAAGUCUGGGAACCUGGGAACCCAGUGCCAGCUCUGACGGAAGGUGAACCACCAGGUCGCAUGGACGUGACAAAGGUUACGUUCCACACAAAUCCAGAGCCGCAGGUUUCCCAAGAGGCCCAGCAACGUGGCAACGCAGCAGUGGCCGUCAAGAUUGAGCCUCAAGAUCCGACGGAAGGCGACGAUCAGGGGCUUCCCGCGGAGACUGGCCCGGGUGGGGCAGCUGCGAAGGAGUCCCAGCCAGGUGCAGUCCCCGUGCAUCCCACUGGCCCGCAUCCCAUCCUGGCUCGGCCACCGCGGGGGGUUGUCCCCCCCAUCUCGGACAGAGCACAGCCGCGGGUGAAGGUCGUCUACUUCCGCAAGGUGGAGCGGGGCAUUGCCACGCAGCCCGUGGUGACGACUCUGCCGGUCGCGGCGCUGCAGUCCCUCCUGGCGGCCGAGUCCCCACAGCCGGGCUUCGUGCCAGUCUGGCUUCCUGGUUCCGGAAUGUCUUCGAAGCACGUUCCUGUUUAUCAGGAUAUCGACGGAGUCAGGGACUUCUCGGCAUACAAGGUUGACCUCGACAACGAGGCACUCAUCUUCGUGCUCCACAAUGGCGACAUCGUCAUGGUUUCGCCUCUAAAAUGCGGAAACAACCGGCUUGAACAAAUCAUGAAACUUAUUUUAUACAGAGGCCAGUCCGCCAACGACCUAACAGAGUACGGAGUACCACAAACGAACGCCAUACAUCGAAAUGGUAGGUACAGGCCCUGCGAGGGACAUGCACCCUCUUCGCUGUUUCAAGACACUUUUCAGUUACGAACGCCAGCCCAUAAACACUGUUAUACCCGGUGCCAAGUACGUGUACUUGGCAAGGAACCUCCUGGACAUCUGCGUUUCCUUCUACUCCUUCACUCGCACCGUGCAGAUGUACAGAUUCAGGGAUGGAACGUUCGAUGAUUUCUUCGAGCUCUGCGUGACAGGCCAGAACGAUCGUGGCCACUUCUUUGAUCACUUGAUGUUCAGGUACCCUCAUAAGGAUGGCGCCAAAGUCUUUUUUGUCUCGUAUGAGGAAUUCAAGAGGAACUUCAGAGACAUUGUCUUGAGACUUGAUCGUUUUCUGGGAGACGAGUACGCCAAGGCGCUGGUGUCAAAAGAUCUCUUCCAAAAGGUCGUUGAACAGAGCAGCCUUUCCUUCAUGUCCCAGUUUCUGACGUUUAGGGAAGAGAAAAUGAGAAAAUUGUUUGAAAAAGGCGAUAAGGACUUGUUAGAGGCCGCAAACAGGUUUGCCUGGGUUGGUUCUGAAUGAUUUCUGAACAAAAGU